Molecule: long non-coding RNA, 215 nt
Filed under: Physcomitrium patens
Lineage: Eukaryota; Viridiplantae; Streptophyta; Bryopsida; Funariales; Funariaceae
Description: long non-coding RNA (PPAT_LNC013732)
Source: RNAcentral
GUGUUGCGAUUGGAAGUGAUGCUCUGGCUAGUCAAGACUGAGUUUAGAAAACUUGGAUAGAGAGUUCGCUGGACCUGGUGACUGCGCAGAUGAUGCUCUACCGUUGAUAUCCUCUCUCGUUAGAAAUUCUAGAAAUGAAGCGAGGAAGGAAUCUGAGUGUGGCGUUUGUAGAAUGUUUACACAGUCGUUCAUAGUUAACAGUUAGCCAUGGAAUU